Long non-coding RNA from Oxyura jamaicensis (ruddy duck), 382 nucleotides. RefSeq lists it as uncharacterized. The transcript is spliced from 3 exons. NCBI's taxonomy places the organism in Eukaryota, Metazoa, Chordata, Aves, Anseriformes, Anatidae. The record is from RefSeq and is a predicted model, not a curated record.
GUCUCUCCUACAGAUAUUGGGAUGGCUGAAGUCCCUCAUGAGAUCCAGGGCUUGUGAAUGUGAGUCUGCUUCUGUCUGUCCAUAGAGGAACUCCUAUGCUUGGUCUUCUUUAUCCGGUGGCCUGUAGCACUCCCACACUAUAAUGUCCCCUGUCCCUGCCUUACGUUUAAUCCUGACCCAUCAGCUCUUGGUCAGCUCCUCACCCAUUCCCAGGCAGAGCUCCAUGCACUCCAGCUGCUCAUUGACAUUGAGGGAGAUGUCCCCUCCUCGCCUCCCAUGCCUGUGCUUCCUAAAGAGCCUGUAUCCUUCCAUUCCAACACUCCAGCCAUGGGAGCCAUCCCACCACAUCUCUGUAAUGCCAAGGAGGCACAUCAAUACAUGC